This 536-nucleotide ribosomal RNA is filed under the name Fusarium decemcellulare. RNAcentral's name for it is "eukaryotic LSU rRNA". The stretch from base 164 to 317 matches the Rfam family "5.8S ribosomal RNA". The record is from RNAcentral. Lineage: Eukaryota; Fungi; Ascomycota; Sordariomycetes; Hypocreales; Nectriaceae.
GUUGGCUUAGGAAUUCACUCCAACCCCUGUGACAUACCUAUAAUUUGCCUCGGCGGACUCAACGACGGUGCUCCGAGAAAUCGGUCGCCGCUCGCUGCCAGAGGAACCCCAAACUCUAUGUAUUCUUGUGGAUCUUCUGAGUAAAACAAAACAAAUAAAUCAAAACUUUCAACAACGGAUCUCUUGGUUCUGGCAUCGAUGAAGAACGCAGCGAAAUGCGAUAAGUAAUGUGAAUUGCAGAAUUCAGUGAAUCAUCGAAUCUUUGAACGCACAUUGCGCCCGCCAGUAUUCUGGCGGGCAUGCCUGUUCGAGCGUCAUUUCAACCCUCAAGCCCCCGGGCUUGGUGUUGGGGAUCGGCGAUAGCCGCCGUCCCCCAAAUCUAGUGGCGGUCUCGCUGUAGCCUCCAUUGCGUAGUAGCUAACACCUCGCAACUGGAACGCGGCGCGGCCAAGCCGUUAAACCCCCAACUUCUGAAUGUUGACCUCGGAUCAGGUAGGAAUACCCGCUGAACUUAAGCAUAUCAAUAAGCGGAGGAA